This 235-nucleotide long non-coding RNA is filed under the name Elaeis guineensis (African oil palm). RNAcentral's name for it is "long non-coding RNA (EGUI_LNC028606)". Lineage: Eukaryota; Viridiplantae; Streptophyta; Magnoliopsida; Arecales; Arecaceae. The record is from RNAcentral.
AGUUCUAUUGAGAUCAUAGUUGAUUCAUCAUUUGGAGGGAUUUUCUAAUGAGGUGGACUUCUUAAUUUUUUUCUCGGCUUUGUCAGUCUUGUCGGAGUUUUUUUUCAAAAAAAUGAUGUCAUCAUUUGGAGGAGCUUUCUGAAUCGUAGAUCAUGAUCGAUUCAUCAUUUGGAGAAGCUUUCCAAAUCAUAGAUCAUAGUCAAUUCAUCAUUUGGAGAAGCUUUCAGAAUCAUAG